GCAAACUAACAUAACUAGCAAGCAUGUAGAAAAUAUGAACUUGACAAAAUGGUAGUGGCCUGAUGUACAUUAGUGAAUGUUAGACAAACCUGCAAAUUGCCUGCAUUUACAUGACCUGAUGUACUAGUAUCCUCUCUGUUAGCUUGUUGAGUUCCAGGAUUUGCUAUGACCCGGUUCUACUUUUUACAUGGAUUUGAGAUUAUAUGGAUUUGAGUUCCAUGGAUUUGCUAUGACCUGAUGUACUUGCAGGUGGUUUGUUAAAUUCUUGAUUGUCUGCUGUUGUUUUUUCCCCAGCAAAAUCAUCCUUUACAUUGUUCUAGAUAUUUCCACAUAUCUCAACAACUUUAGAUGGAGAUACAAAGUUGUUCUCCUCAUUAGCAAGACCUGCAGCCUCCCAAAUAAUGUUGAAAAGAAGGAAAUGGAUUUUUAGCAAACUAAAAGGAAAAAUGUGUCUGGCGCCCGGAACAUGAGACGCAGCUAGCUCAAAACUUCAAGAAGAAAGCUCAGCGCUUACUAUGUUUGAAUGUUAAUGUUGUGGUGGAUUUGUGGAUUGUGUAAGUGUUUUGUGGAUGUUUGCGAGCGGUGAAGUAGUCUAAUGUUGUAGAUUAACUUAGUCUAAUGUUAUAGACUAAUUUAGUGUAGAUCUACUAGUUUAAUGUUUUGUGGAUGUUUGCAAAGGUUGUGAAGUAGUUUAAUGUUGUGUAGAUGUUUGCGAAUGUUGAAGUAGCUUAAUGCCUCUUCGGAAUGUUUGAAUGACGUUUUGAUUCAACUUUGAAGUAGUUUCGAAUUGAAUUUGACGUAUUGU
This is a long non-coding RNA of Lycium barbarum (goji berry), 805 nucleotides long. RefSeq lists it as uncharacterized. The record is from RefSeq and is a predicted model, not a curated record. NCBI's taxonomy places the organism in Eukaryota, Viridiplantae, Streptophyta, Magnoliopsida, Solanales, Solanaceae. The transcript is spliced from 3 exons.